UGACAAACCGGAGGAAGGUGGGGAUGACGUCAAAUCAUCAUGCCCCUUAUGACCUGGGCUACACACGUGCUACAAUGGGCAGAACAAAGGGCAGCGAAGCCGCGAGGCUAAGCCAAUCCCACAAAUCUGUUCUCAGUUCGGAUCGCAGUCUGCAACUCGACUGCGUGAAGCUGGAAUCGCUAGUAAUCGCGGAUCAGCAUGCCGCGGUGAAUACGUUCCCGGGCCUUGUACACACCGCCCGUCACACCACGAGAGUUUGUAACACCCGAAGUCGGUGAGGUAACCUUUUGGAGCCAGCCGCCGAAAGGUUGGACCAAGAGGUGGU
RNAcentral lists this ribosomal RNA (325 nucleotides) under Bacillus licheniformis. RNAcentral describes it as "bacterial SSU rRNA". It matches the Rfam family "Bacterial small subunit ribosomal RNA", at positions 1156 to 1481 of the family's 1533-position model. Lineage: Bacteria; Bacillati; Bacillota; Bacilli; Caryophanales; Bacillaceae. The record is from RNAcentral.